ACGAUGAUGAUGAUGAUAAACUUUAAUGAUCCAACCGGUGACGAGCAGCUAAACCAACAUGACUGAAUCAAUGAAUCUAAUCAACAACGAGCAAUGGAGAUGGGCUGCGAUUCGCGAUGAAUCCAACCGGUGACAAGCUACUCAACCGACUAGUGGGUGAUGCGUAAGAAGAAGAGAAGAGAGAGGAGCCAAGUGGUGAAACCACGAGGUGGUCGUCCGGUGUCGAGCAACAAAGAUUGCAAUCAACGAUGAGCUACUCAACCAAUAAAGAUGCUGCAGCCAUUCGUUUCUAGGUAAGAAAAACAAGAUGGGUUAUUCGACUACUAGGUCAAAGAUUUUGUUUUUUCCUUCUUUUUUUUUUUCAAUUUAUAUUUUUAAUUGCAAAGAGAAUAUUUUGGAAAAAUAGAAAAAACAAUCGCCAUAGUUUUGUCUUUAGGGGGAAUGGGAUACCCCCAAACUGGAAUGAGAAUCCCAUUAAUCAAUCCUUAUUUUAUGUGGAUCCCGUGCACCUUCUUCCAUUCCCACACUCAAUUAAACAAGUAAACAAUUUCUUUAUUCUGAUUCCCGUUACUGUCUAGUAAACACUCCCAAUAGUCUAAAAGUCUAAAAGAACAGCGUGAAGUAUUCUAUUCUCUAGAUUAUAGAUGAUACAUCCCCAAAAUCGAUCCUUCUUACCAAUAUACUUACAACCCCGUAGUGUAAGAAUCUAAAAAGAUACAGAGACCGAGGGGGAAAAAAAGAAAGAAAAAAUGAAAAACAAAGUUUCUUAGGUACACACUCCACUCGGAAAAAUUAUUUAAAAAAAAAAAAUCAAAAACUCGAACGAGAGAAGGAAUCAAAACAGAUCAAAGAACAUUAGUACGCCCUAAAACCAAAUUGCUCACGCCUCACGAUCUAGAAUGAAACUCUCCAGUCUCCACACUUUAGAAGAACAAAUACAAAUGUUUAGAACACCCAUGCAGCCCAUUCAAGUUUCAACCAUUUCCUGGGCAGAGCAGCAGUAACAGCUUUAACAGAUACAGCUCCCUGGUCUGAGCUGACUCAAAGAAACCUCUCUUCAGCUCACCACUGUUAUCUUUUCAGACCUGAGCCAUCUGCUGCUUCAGUGCCUGCAGGGACUUGAUUUUGGAUUCACAAAUCCGAAGAAAUGCAGAGAGUCCUGCACGCUGCCCAGCUACAAAUUUCCUUGCAACAUCAACAGGACUCCAAGAUUUCAUAGCUUGAGAUAUCCGAUCACCAAGUUCUGCCUCAUUCAAGGAUGAGAUCAGUGUUCCAAGAAGCCGGAACACCUGCCCAGGACCGUCACCCCUGUCAUUUGCCUCAAGAGAGGAGAAUAUAGCAUCUAACUUUUCAUCCUCUGACUUCUUGAUAUGAUGCCCUAACCACUUUGCUACCUCUUCCACUACGCCACUUGUAGAUUGAACAGAGCCCCGAAUAUCAUGAGACAGUGGAGAGGUAGAAUGAUCUGCAGAUCCACUUUUCUUCUUCUUCUUUCCAGAUGGAAGAGAUGAUCGGACACAAGAUUGCAUUACAAGUGUAUGCCAAGCCAACGGUUC
This 1556-nucleotide long non-coding RNA is filed under the name Citrus sinensis (sweet orange). Its description in RNAcentral is "long non-coding RNA (CSIN_LNC003692)". The record is from RNAcentral. Lineage: Eukaryota; Viridiplantae; Streptophyta; Magnoliopsida; Sapindales; Rutaceae.